Molecule: long non-coding RNA, 3850 nt
Organism: Topomyia yanbarensis
Lineage: Eukaryota; Metazoa; Arthropoda; Insecta; Diptera; Culicidae
Exons: 3
Source: RefSeq, a predicted model, not a curated record
AAUUUGUUGCUUUAACCCUCAUUUUAUUCGACUUUAAUAAUUAUUUUUCUGCGUGUGCUCACCUAAAAAAUGUAGGUGAUUAGAACCAAAAAGUGUUGCGUUUACUUUCAGAUUUUUCUUUUAAUUUUCGGGUAACAUUUCCUUUUGGAUAAUGGCAGUUGGGAAGUUUCUGAAUGACGUAAAUUGAAGAUAGGCGUUUUUUGAAAUUCAAGAAGGCGGCUUAUGGUUACAACCAAACACUUAAAACCACCGCUAAUAUAGGUGCCAUUUGAAAGGUAGUGUUUAUUAGAAGGCAAAAAAUGAUGAUUGGAGCCAUUUAAAAAUCCAAGAUGGUGGAUUCCGAUUAUCACAAAACACUGAAAACCACCAUCAGCAUGGGUGUCAUUUGCAAGGUAGUAAUUAGUAGAUGGCAAAAAUUGAUAAUAGGGAUCUUUAGGGGUGUGCGGGUUAAGGCAUUUUCUGAUGCAUAUUAGUACCGUGAGUUAAUAUCUCAGUCCUUUUUCAAUUUUAGGCCCAAAACUAUUGAAAAAACAUGUUUUAGUUUGUUUCCUUUUACGACAAUAACACAUCCAAACCCAUGCGACUUGCACAGCUCUAUAGGUUGCCUUAUCAGAUCUACCAUAGUUUGCAGAUGAAACUUGGGAUGGCAGGCUGCUAGCUGAUUGCAAAAGUACCAGAUCAUAGACUUUUCUACGGCUCAUGUACGUAGACGUCACAUGACACAAAUACUACUUCACAAGCUGGUGGAAAAUAGUAAACAAAGACGGCAAAAGUAAAUGGGAUUGUUUUCAACCAGUAAGCUGCCCUGGUGUUCGUGAGACUGGCCGACAAGAACUCAAUGCCGUGUGGGGUGCUGACCCGGUUGACAAUGAGGCGAACGAAAUAUUUGCAGAUACGUCAUUUAGUAGAACAACUGUCAGUUUGUUGGUUGAAUUUAAUUUGGUUUUUUUAAAUUUAAAAAUCAGAAAAGAAUAAUUAAGGUUUAAGAAUGAUAUGAGUGUACUCGUGAGGACACCCGCUAUCAGUACAUAUGAAACACUGACAUAAUUUUUCCAAAUUAAAGAUCCCGAUUGGCGCCAUUUUGAGUUCCAUGAUGGCGACUUCCGGUUACUACAAAAUAUUGAAAACCAUCAUCAAUAUGGGUGUCAAUUAAAAUGUAGUGUUUAGUAGAAGGCAAAAAUUAAUGAUUGGUGCCAUUCCGAAAUCCAAGAUGGCGGCUUCCGGUUGCCACAAAACACUGAAAAUCACACCCAAAAUGGUAGGUAGUUAUUAGAAGAAGGCGAAAAUUGAUGAUUGGUUCCAUUUGGAAAACCAAGAUGGCCGCUUUCGGUUAUCACAAAACACCGUAAACCACCAUCAAUAUGGGUGUCAUUGGAAAGGUAGUAAUUAGUAGAAGGCGAAAAUUGACGAUUGGAGCCAUUUGAAAUCCAAGAUGGCGGCGUUCGGUUACCACAAAACAUCAAAAACCAUUAUCAAUAUGGUUGUGAUUUGAAAGGUAUUGAUUAGUAGAAGCCAAAAAUCGACGAUUGGCGCCAUUUUGAAAUCUAAGACGAUUGACUUGGUUUGUUUGAUAGAGCCCAUCAAACAAAUUUUCAUGCAAGAGGUGACAGAAUGGGGUCAAUGCACUUAAAAAAUCGGGGGUAGACUGAAUCAGGCACAGACAAUAUCGGUGGCUGAUAAUAUCGGAUCUUCCCUAUAUUUCUAAGUACUUCGAUAGUACCAUUAAAAAUAACUAUGUUUCUAGAAUCAUCCAUUUCGUAAACUAGCAUUCGGUGAAAUGGAAAUCAUCGUACUGACGCUCUUCCUUUUUUCAAAUCAUCUAUCUAUUGCUUUUAACCCUUUCAUUCCCAAAGUUUUUCUUGUGCAUGUAGGGUUUCAAAACUAUUUUUUCUUGAAAACAGUGAUGUUAAGAAACACGAAUUCUUUUUUCAUAAAGAUAGGAGCUUCCCUCGCAGCACUAGAAGCUGCUCAAUUUCUACCUUCUAAUGGUCAAUACAAUUCCCCUAGAAUAUUCGAUUUGAAACAGAUUUUGCUUAGUGACCGCACCCCACAACCCAUAACUCUGGAAUCGGAAAUCGGAUCGAGAUGAAAUUUAAUAGCCAUUUAAGGGGAUAAAACACCUUUCAUUUGAGACCAAGUUUGGUCGAAUCUCCGAAAAACCAAUGAGACUGUAACUCUUAAUUUGGAUACUUCCGCCGGGGCUUCCGGAACCGACGAUGGUGGCCAAUGUGACCAAAGAGACUUUGAAUGGCUGUUAGUGACCUAGUACUACAAAUCUAAGUAGAUGUGGCACCAGUUUGAAAAAGUUUUCACCUUUAUACAUUCAUUACAGAAUUUUUUAAAAUCAACAUUUUCUGCGUGAUCGUACUCUUCACUCUGUAACUCCGGAACCGGAAGUCAGAUCCAUUAUAAAUUCAAUAGCAGCCUACAGGAUACACGUUUCAUUUGAGACUAAGUUUAUGAAAAUCGGUUCAGCCAUCUCUGAGAAAAGUGAGUGAGAUUGUGGUCACAUACACACAGAGAAUUGACGGACUGAAUCGAAUGGUAUAUGUCACUCGAGCCUCCGGGUCUCCGUUGAAAAGACGGUUUUCAGAGCAGUUUUUCUAUUGAGAAAGGCAAAACGUAAAUCGUACGAACAAGUUAUAGCAAAUAGUGAUACAUUUAACACUUUUAUAAUGAGUGGCUCAUGUCCCUUCAGAUUUGACCGCACUUACCGCUUGAUAACGUCCCAGUUUGAUAUUUCUUUUGAGUGGUUUGAGAAAACUGAGAAAACGAAAAUCGUCAACGCAGGCCUGGAUACGGUUAAAGAAAUAUAAACAAAUUUUGGUAGCCUCGCAUCGUUUUCCGGAGCAGUUGGAUAUGUAAGGAUAUUUAUUAUUUUAAAUCUAGUCCUGUAAUUUAAUUCUAUUAAUCGAAUCGUAUAUUUAAAGCAUUGUCAUCAAUACCCCCAGGGUUGCAAAAUUGAUUCGGUUCUGUGACUCCGAAUCUAAAGAAUAUGGCGUGCGACAUCGAAGAAUUUAUUCCGUGCAUUUUAGGUCGUCUUGUUUCAAACACCUAUUAAAUCUAUCUAAAGGGAAAAUGUUGCAAAAUUACACAAACUAAAAAUUAAAAAUUGACGCGUUUCGUUUUGCAGAUGAUGAUCGAGUUGCACUUUUUGUUGCCAACGAACGGAAAACAAAUAAAUAAUUGAAGAAAUUUUUCUCCUCAAAAUAUUUGAUUAUUUCUGCUGCCUCUGCACUCCUUGCUGUCGUUCGAUUCCGUUCACGUGGCUUCGACGUGCUGCCUCGAGGAUCGGCAACUCGUUGGUAGCGAGCCGCGUGGCUUGUUUCGAUAUUCCACCUGUUGCUAUGGGCCUUGGUUGCCUCUAGAUGACCUCGCAUCUGCGUGGUGACUUCAGGAAACUAUUCAGUCAUGUCAAACUGAGGCUUCCAAUAGUCAACACCGGUGAAACAACGUCAUCUCGGUUAUUGACUUCAGAUACAUCGAGCAAUACGGAACAUUUGAACAAGACUGUAGCUUACCCGAGCUCCGAGCCACUACAAUUCCAUUUGACUUCAGUCAUACCGGCUGGAAUAUAAUAUAGAAUUCUGGCUGUCUAAGAGACAAGUAUUUUAAUUGUGCAUUCAUUUUUAUUUGUUUUUUGUUGAUGAUUAAUUCAUUUCAAAUAUAUUUGUAGUUGGAACUGUGGCCACAUUUGCAAUUAUGGUGCCACUGACAUAUGAGCAAGCGUAUGGGGGAUAGACCACUAGUGAAUAAUUGUUCUUAAACCUGAGGGGUAACCACCCAUAUUGAUGGUGGUUUUAAGUGUUUUGUUACCAGCCACCAUCUUGGAUUUCAAAAUGGCGCCAAU